Long non-coding RNA from Humulus lupulus (European hop), 3099 nucleotides. RefSeq lists it as uncharacterized. Lineage: Eukaryota; Viridiplantae; Streptophyta; Magnoliopsida; Rosales; Cannabaceae. The record is from RefSeq and is a predicted model, not a curated record. The transcript has 5 exons.
AUUUCUAACUCUAAAUAAUUUCCCCGCUACACCUCUCUUUUUCCCCUUCCCCCUUUCUUUCCUUUUUCCCUCUUUUCUCUUCCUCCGUGUGUGACUUCUUCCAGUCGAACCCUCAGCCAUCUUCUUCCUAACUCGUUUUCCCUAAAUUAAAUAAUUUCUCCAUUUUCUCUCCCAUUCUCAGACCCAAUUUUGUAUCCCCAUCUCAUACCCAAUUUUGUAUCCCAAUCCCAUACCCAUUUCUCAGUCUUUCUCCCUUUAUCCUUUUCUCAGUUUCUCUCUAUUUCUUUAUCCCCUUUUUUUUACUGCUGCCGUGCGCCAUUUCCGAGCAGAAGACAACCCAUUUCUGCUCUACCAGAUCAGGCCGCCUCUAUCAGGUAUAUACCCACUGUUCUCUUCUAAAGUAUAUAUUUAUAUAUAUAUAUAUAUAGAUACAUAUAUGUGUGUGCUUUCUUUUUCCCUUGAUAUAGUUGUUGUCACUCUCGUUCUCUCCCAUUGAUUUCACUCUUCGACCAGAACAGGUACGGUGGUUUUUUUUUUAUAUAUACUAUGUAUUAGCUUUUUUUGUUUGCAUUUAUAAUGUACAGAAUAUAUAAGAGUAAAAGUUAGAAAUUAAUAGUGGUUAAAAAAUUUAGCUAGGAGUGAAUUGUUUUAGGGGUUAAUAAAAUAUUUAGGUCUGUUUCUAUUUAUAUAUAGCUAAUGAUUUGAAAUAUUUGGCUGACAUUAAAAAGCAUACAAGAGAAUACACGUUGAAGACUUUAGAUUCUUGGCACUCUGUUGUUCAACUUGAUUAAAUGGUAAGUUUUUUUUUUUUUUCCGCUGUACGUUGUGGAACUAUUUAGUUCUUGUGUCUCAGGUGCAUUAACGUAUUCCUCUUGAAGGUUCCUUACAUUGGAGCAGCUUGGACAGAUGCAAAACUUGGUGUAGAAACGCAAAGGGUCAUUUUUUGCUAAGUUUUGCAUUGAUAGGAUAUUUCUUGCUAUUUCCUGCUAACAAGAUGCAAGAAACAUUGUAUAUUAUGCUGCAAUACAUAGAUAUAAAUAGUCUUAAAGUAGUCAUAUACACAUUAAAAACAGGGGAGCAUUAGUUUGAUACAAGAACAACAGUUACAAUUGAAGAAUGGUUUCUCUUUACUACCUAUUGUGUAUAUAUAGAAUUUCAAUCCAAACAGAUUAUUUAGUUACAACGUAGAAAGAUUUAUAUAUUGUUCAUGAAAAAAUUGUUUAUUUAGUUUCAAGAUAUAGUAGUUUCUCAUAUUUUGUUUAUUUUCUAUCUAGUUUAAUUCAUACUUUAUUUAACAUGCGUGUUUAUGCAGAAUGAUUUUGAUAAUUAUACUACACUACUUGACUAAGUUUUUUCAUUUGUAUUAUUCUCUUGUCUUAAUUUAAUGAGAUUUUAACCUUUUUGUGUUUCUUUCUUUGUCAUCAGUUUUCUUUGCAGUGUUUGAAAAAGUGAUUGAUUUGCUGACUUGCAAUUGAUUGGAGUAUAGGUUCAUCUUGAUAUCUUAACUGCUGGGUUUUUUAUUCUUGAUGUGGUUCUUUCACUCUUGUCUUGUUGCUAGAUCUAUAAAACUUCAUCUUGAGUUAAAGAUUUUCUGGCUCUCAUUUAGAUUGCAAAUUCUCUUAUAUAAAUGUAUAUAAUUGUUGAGUUUUGCGGUUCCUUCUUGAAUUUAUUUGUUCUAAUUUUUAAGGCAAUUGUUUUAGGAAUUAAAUCCCUCAUAAUUCAAAUGAAUAUGUUACUAAAACUUGUUUAAAUUUUGACUUAAAGAAAAUCUUUGUUCAACUUUAUCUGUGUUUUUUCUUGGUAAGAUUUAUUCUCUUCUUGUAUUCAUUCACUAUUAUUAUUCAUUUCUUGGGCAGCGCAAAGAAGACUUGAAGAAAACUUGAUUUGAGAUAUGGUUGGGCACUUAUUGGACAUGUGAUUGAAAUAUGGAAUAUUAUUUAUAUUUAUUAUCACUCUAGCUACAGCAUAUAUAAUAUAUAGAUAGUUGGUACAUGCACAUAAAUAUUAUAAAGAUUGUAGGUAUAAAUAUAUGUAUAUAUAUAUUUAUAUUAGUUUUUUGUCAAAAUGUAAUACUUCUUUGCAUUUUGAAAAUAGCAUAAACUAAGUUAUGAUGUAGUUUUCUAUGUAUUUUAGGUGGACAAGCUAAGCAUUUGACUCACCCCAAGGCUGAGAAGAAAGAAGACAGACUUCAAAGAAACUAUUUUGCAACAGUUUGCAAGAGGCUAAAACUCUACUUGGAUAUUUAAGAGAACCAAGACAAUUAUAUAAGAGAACCAAGGCAACAUGAAAUUCUUCUUCAAGUUGUUGGAUGGUUAUUCCUACAGAUCAUGAUUUCAGCAUUCUGCAGAGGCGGGCUUUUGGAAGAAGCAAAGCAGUUGGCCAAGGAUUUUGAAGCAAGAUAUGACACAUUGUAAUAUAUACUCUUGCAGGGAACCAGUCGGCCUACUCACUACCAUGUCUUGUUUGAUGAGAACAAUUUACCUGCUGAUGCCUUGCAAGUCCUCACCAACAAUCUCUGCUACACUUAAAUACUAUUCAUUUUCAUUUUUUGUUCUUCGAUUCCAACAUUCUAUUGUGAACUACUUUUGUUGUUCCUGUUCUUGACCUGAUACAAGCAUUUAAGAGGCAUAAUGUUAUGUUUUUUUUUUUGUAGGAUGGAAGGAGCAAUGUGCCAAGUACUCUCCUUACUCCACAUACUUUGAGGGCAGACUCAGCUCUGCCAUGCCCAACUCUGUGUACAACCAACGUAACAACUCAGAAAAUGGAAACCAUUCUAACAUCAUCUGAACAGGAUCUUGCAGGCAAAGGACACCAAGUGAAUUAGAUAGAGAGGUUAAGAACUUGAAGGUGGCAUUUACUGACCUGUUUUUGAAGCAUAACACUUUCAAAGAAACUUCAAAGCCAUCGAGAUAUUGAUGCAAAGAAUGGAAGAAUGUAUUUCACUAAUUUUUGUAUACAUUUCUUGUUUUGUAUUUAGUGAUAAAGGAAUCUGAAUUGGGCAUAAAUUAUGUUGUAAUAUGAUUUCUUAAGCCUAGACUAGUAGACUAAAUAUUGUAAUUACAUUUGACUAAUUAAUAAAAAUCUAUUUAUGUUACCUUA